RNAcentral lists this ribosomal RNA (431 nucleotides) under Nematoda environmental sample. RNAcentral's name for it is "bacterial SSU rRNA". It matches the Rfam family "Eukaryotic small subunit ribosomal RNA", at positions 182 to 570 of the family's 1831-position model. The record is from RNAcentral. Lineage: Eukaryota; Metazoa; Nematoda.
UUCCGAUGACCGGCCUCUACAUACAUUGGUCUCGUGAUCGCGCGUCACUACCGCGGGAAGAGUGCACUUAUUAGAACAAAACCAAGCGGCUUCGGCUGUUCUUCGGUUGACUCAUAGUAACUGAGCUGAUCGCAUGGUCUUGCACCGGCGACGUGUCUUUCAAGUAUCUGCCGUAUCAACUUUCGAUGGUAGUGUAUCUGACUACCAUGGUGAUCACGCGUAACGGAGAAUAAGGGUUCGGCUCCGGAGAGUUCGCCUGAGAAAUCGCGAACACAUCUAAGGAAGGCAGCAGGCGCGAAAAUUACCCACUCUCAGCACGAGGAGGUAGUGACGAAAAAUAACGAGACCGUUCUCUUUCGAGGCCGGUCAUCGGAAUGGGUACAAUUUAAACCCUUUAACGAGUAUCUAUGAGAGGGCAAGUCUGGUGCCAG